AGUGAACGCUGGCGGUAGGCCUAACACAUGCAAGUCGAACGGCAGCACAGUAAGAGCUUGCUCUUACGGGUGGCGAGUGGCGGACGGGUGAGGAAUACAUCGGAAUCUACUUUUUCGUGGGGGAUAACGUAGGGAAACUUACGCUAAUAGCGCAUACGACCUACGGGUGAAAGCAGGGGAUCUUCGGACCUUGCGCGAUUGAAUGAGCCGAUGUCGGAUUAGCUAGUUGGCGGGGUAAAGGCACACCAAGGCGACGAUCCGUAGCUGGUCUGAGAGGAUGAUCAGCCACACUGGAACUGAGACACGGUCCAGACUCCUACGGGAGGCAGCAGUGGGGAAUAUUGGACAAUGGGCGCAAGCCUGAUCCAGCCAUACCGCGUGAGUGAAGAAGGCCUUCGGGUUGUAAAGCCCUUUUGUUGGGAAAGAAAAGCAGCAGGUGAAUACCCCGCUGUUCUGACGGUACCCAAAGAAUAAGCACCGGCUAACUUCGUG
Molecule: ribosomal RNA, 492 nt
Filed under: uncultured bacterium
Lineage: Bacteria
Description: partial 16S ribosomal RNA
Rfam family: Bacterial small subunit ribosomal RNA
Source: RNAcentral